Molecule: ribosomal RNA, 497 nt
Filed under: uncultured bacterium
Lineage: Bacteria
Description: partial 16S ribosomal RNA
Rfam family: Bacterial small subunit ribosomal RNA
Source: RNAcentral
GAUGAACGCUGGCGGCGUGCCUAAUACAUGCAAGUCGAGCGAACGGACGCGAAGCUUGCUUUUCUGAUGUUAGCGGAGGACGGGAGAGUAACACGUGGAUAACCUACCUAUAAGACUGGGAUAACUUCGGGAAACCGGCGCUAAUAGCGGAGAAUAUUUUGAACCGCGUGGUUCAAAAGUGAAAGACGGUCUUGCUGUCUCUUCUAGCUGGAUCCGCGCUGCAUUAGCUAGUUGGUAAGGUAAAGGCUUACCAAGGCAACGAUGCAUAACCGACCUGAGAGGGUGAUCGGCCGCACUGGAGCGGGGACACGGUCCUGACUCCUACGGGAGGCAGCAGUAGGGAAUCUUCCGCAAUGGGCGAAAGCCUGACGGAGCAACGCCGCGUGAGUGAUGAAGGUCUUCGGAUCGUAAAACUCUGUUAUUAGGGAAGAACAUAUGUGUAAGUAACUGUGCACAUCUUGACGGUACCUAAUCAGAAAGCCACGGCUAACUACGUG